RNAcentral lists this ribosomal RNA (775 nucleotides) under uncultured Neocallimastigales. RNAcentral describes it as "partial large subunit ribosomal RNA". It matches the Rfam family "Eukaryotic large subunit ribosomal RNA", at positions 24 to 664 of the family's 3401-position model. The record is from RNAcentral. Lineage: Eukaryota; Fungi; Neocallimastigomycota; Neocallimastigomycetes; Neocallimastigales.
GUAGUCUCGCACAGAUGCAUAUCAAUAAGCGGAGGAAAAGAAACUAACAAGGAUUCCCCUAGUAACGGCGAGUGAAGCGGGAAGAGCUCAAAUUUGAAAUCUUAAAGGGUUUCCCUUUACGAAUUGUAGUUUAAAGAAGUGUUUUCUGUUGAGGUUUUGGUAAAAGUUCUUUGGAAUAGGACAUCAUAGAGGGUGAGAAUCCCGUAUUUGACCUUUACUUUCAACUUUGUGAUACACUUUCAAAGAGUCGGAUUGUUUGGGAAUGCAGUCCAAAAUGGGUGGUAAAUUUCAUCUAAAGCUAAAUAUUGGCGAGAGACCGAUAGCGAACAAGUACCGUGAGGGAAAGAUGAAAAGAACUUUGAAAAGAGAGUUAAACAGUACGUGAAAUUGUCAAAAGGGAAGCGUUUGACACCAGUGUUGUUUUUCUGAAAAUCAAUUAAAGAACUGUUUAUGCUAAGUUGUUUAGACUUUAUCAGCUAUCUGUUUAGUUUUGAGCUUUUCUUUAAUGCACUUUUCAGUUAGCAAGCCAACAUCAAUUUCUUUUGCUGUAAAAAAGCUUGAGGAAGGUGGCUUGAGAUUCGUCUUAAGUGUUUAUAGCCUCUUGCCUAUGCAGUCGGAGAGAUUGAGGUCUGCAGCGUAGAUCCUUCGGGGCUAAAUGCAUUUGUGCUAAGUUAUAGCAUUUUAUAGACAACUUGUUGACUAUGAUUUGUCUUGUAGCAUUACUCGCUUAUGUUAUUUUACCUACGCUUAGGAUGUUGAUCUGUAGUGCGUGCGC